GACGAACGCUGGCGGCGUGCUUAACACAUGCAAGUCGAACGGAAAGGCCCUGCUUUUGUGGGGUGCUCGAGUGGCGAACGGGUGAGUAACACGUGAGUAACCUGCCCUUGACUUUGGGAUAACUUCAGGAAACUGGGGCUAAUACCGGAUAGGAUCUCCUGCUGCAUGGUGGGGGUUGGAAAGUUUCGGCGGUUGGGGAUGGACUCGCGGCUUAUCAGCUUGUUGGUGGGGUAGUGGCUUACCAAGGCUUUGACGGGUAGCCGGCCUGAGAGGGUGACAGGCCACAUUGGGACUGAGAUACGGCACAGACUCCUACUGGAGGCAGCAGUGGGGAAUAUUGAAGAAUGGGCGGAAGCCUGAUGCAGAAACGCCGCGUGCGGGAUGACGGCCUUCGGGUUGUAAACCGCUUUCGCAUGUGACGAAGCGUGAGUGACGGUAAUGGGUAAAGAAGCACCGGCUAACUACGUG
RNAcentral lists this ribosomal RNA (468 nucleotides) under uncultured bacterium. RNAcentral's name for it is "partial 16S ribosomal RNA". It matches the Rfam family "Bacterial small subunit ribosomal RNA", at positions 28 to 507 of the family's 1533-position model. The record is from RNAcentral.